Molecule: long non-coding RNA, 479 nt
Organism: Vespula vulgaris
Lineage: Eukaryota; Metazoa; Arthropoda; Insecta; Hymenoptera; Vespidae
Exons: 2
Source: RefSeq, a predicted model, not a curated record
ACAGAUGCGCUAACGUUCCUAUAAUCGCUGGUAUAAAUUCGCCUCUUUGAUAAUUAAGACGUGACAUUAAGUUUUACGAGCUCUCACGGCAAAGUACGACGUUAAGGUUUACGAUUGGGAUAGCCGUGCUGAUAAAUCAUGAUUCACAUUUCCUGGAAAGCUUUAAUCAUCCUAUCGGUGACAACAUUGAUCAUGUUUUUCAACCGUAAUAGAGACGAGAGCUACAUCCCAUUGAGAUUCUAAUCAAUUCUUUUCGAUAUGAAAGUGCUUGCCUUUGGACCAUUCGAUGUUCAUCUUUUAAAUCAAGAAAGACAUGGAAUCGAAGAGCUAAAGAGACAUAUAGAAUCUUGUUUAACCUGAUAAUCGACACACCAUGUAUCUACUUUCCACUGUCUAUAACGUCAAACUCGCGGCGGGCUUGACGUUUUCGAGAAGAGAAACGAACGAAAAGAAAUACAAAAUUUAAGCCAUAUCCACAA